UACAGGGGGUGCAAACGUUGCUCGGAAUCAUUGGGCGUAAAGCGCACGUAGGCGGUUCGUUAUGUCGGAUGUGAAGCCCUUGGCUUAACCGAGGAAGUGCAUCCGAAACUGGCGAGCUAGAGUACGAAAGAGGAUCGCGGAAUUCCCGGUGUAGAGGUGAAAUUCGUAGAUAUCGGGAGGAACACCGGUGGCGAAGGCGGCGAUCUGGGUCGAUACUGACGCUGAGGUGCGAAAGCGUGGGGAGCAAACAGG
Molecule: ribosomal RNA, 252 nt
Filed under: uncultured bacterium
Lineage: Bacteria
Description: partial 16S ribosomal RNA
Rfam family: Bacterial small subunit ribosomal RNA
Source: RNAcentral